Molecule: long non-coding RNA, 3052 nt
Organism: Nicotiana attenuata
Lineage: Eukaryota; Viridiplantae; Streptophyta; Magnoliopsida; Solanales; Solanaceae
Exons: 2
Source: RefSeq, a predicted model, not a curated record
GCUCAUUUUCCGUUUGAACUAAUUCGCGCAUUGCGCAGAAACGUAUACUAAUAAUAUUUUAGGUGUUCGGCCACACAAAAAAUAGUAAACUCUCAGACUCGAGAAAUACACACACAAAUAAAAUCCGAACUUUAAUUUAUCCAUCUAAAUCCAUGGCGUUGGAGGAGAACGGCGGUGGAGAUCUGAAGGAGCAAGGUGAACAGGAGUCGUCCGAUUGGUCCAAAUUGUCGGCUGAUUUGAAAGUUGAGAUUUUGUGCCGGUUACCGGAAAAACCUCUGAUUGCGUUCAAAAGGGUGGCCAAAGAUUGGUACUUUCUGAUUUCUUAUACUUGUGUUCCUAGAUUAUCUCCACCAUCUCCUUCUGCCCCUAUCUGUGGUACCUUUGGUCCUGGCUUUACUAGUGACCCAUCCAAGUCCACCACUGUAGUAUUCACUCCAUAUGGACAUUACCAUACCCUCUUUCAUCAGCGCCGUUCACUGAAUAAAGUUCACUUGUACGACUAAGGAUCUACAGGAUUGUUGCAAUGGUUUGCUUCUUAUAUCCUGCAGUGACGACGAACGCACUCAGUAUUUAGUUGGUAAUCCAGCUACGAGGCAAACUAUUCCGAUAUCUGUUAAUUCAAAGCAUCAAAAUUCCAACUUGGUGGACUGUUCGCUAGUUUUUGAUCCAGGCGAGUCCUUAGAAUACAAGAUUAUUUGGUUUGUUCACUCGGUUGGUAAAGUCACUAUUAGAUUGGUGGAUGUUUAUUUUUGUGGAUGUUUAUUCUUCUGAGACUGGAUCGAGUACAAACUUCCUGUUGAACCAAAGGUUUCUGGAGUAGGGUGGCUUAAAACUUCCGUCUAUCUAAAUGGAGUUCUGUACAAGAUAUCUCGUGAUGGAUGCCUCAUUUGCAUAGGCGUAAAAUCCAAUCUUGCUAAUUUGAAUGCUUGGUCUACCAUUGAAUUGCCAUUUCAGCUGAUCACAGAUGAGUAUGUAGGUUCUAUCGGAGCAUCAAGAGGCCAUCUUUAUUGCUUCAAUCGAGAUGCAUCUUGCUUUCUUCUUUGGAAGCUAAAGAAUGGUGUUCAAUGGGUUUUGGAGUACAGUAUAAGCAUAUAUAGGCUGAUUCAUAGUUCUUUUGGCGGUUAUUACUGUAAGGUCUUGGGAGAUAAGGUCUGGACUACAUUUCAGCCUUGUGUCUUUCUUCCUAUUUUGGACGAAAUUCUCAUUGAAACUCCUUGGUUCCUCGUAACUUAUAGUCCUAAAGAAAACAAUUUUGAGUGGUAUGACAUAGAGAUGUGGCUGUAAGACAAGAAGAUAAGGGCAUUCUUUUCCUUACUCGCGAAGCCUUGUUGUCCUCAAUAGCAUCAUCCAUAGGGAUUAUGAAUCAUUUGCCUUUUCAAAAUGAUUGAAUAAUUAAUCAGCCGAGGACAGCAAGUUGAUGCGGUACAUUUCACUUAUGAAGUUGGACUUGCUGAUAGGUUCCCUCCUGUUCCCCUUCUGAAAGCUUAUCUAAAAGAUGCGAAAAAAGCUGCUACUGCAAUUCUCGAAGACCCAAAUAAUUCUGGUCGAGCUGCGGUAUCAUCCACUUCUUUUUCUCCUGUUAUGUAUAUUUUCAUCUAGCUUUCCUGUAUCUUGUUUAAAUCUUUUCUCCACAUUGUCUUAACUGUCUUGUUCUACGUUAGUGGUAGUUGGCAAUAUCUGUCCUGACUCUCUUUCUGCUAUCCUCUCCCUGCCUGUGAAUGCAGCUAGGUUCAGUCAUUUUUUUUUUUUUGGAUAAAUAUUGGGUGCUCAGUUUUGCCAAGAUUUACAUAUUUUCCUUUGUUCUUGAAGAGGGUCUAGACAUAGUCAGAAGUGUUGCCCUAAUCAUUUGACCUAAUGUUGGAAGAAACUUUAGUUUCUCUCAUGCCAUUUAUGCCAUUGAAGAAAGACUUAAUUUGGGUUUGGAGCAUCGACAUGUUGACAGGUUUGAAUUCUUCAUUCUUUUUAACACUUGUGAUUGCUUGUUAAUUACAUUUUAGGUUAGUUUAACAUUUUAUUAAUUUGGUAAUUAAAUUGAAACGGCUGCUGCAUAAAAACUAAGUGUCUAUAUGUGUAGUUGUGUAUUCUCAUUGUAGUCACUUGUCCUCUUUGAGAAAUUUAUCACUGUUUCUAUGCUCGAACAGGAAGUAUAUCAUAAGUUUGAAAUAGGAAGAUUAUCAGAACUGCAACAACUUCCCCUGAAUUCCAGUUUCUUUCAAGGUUAGAUUACUAAAGGUGAUGGGACGUUGCUCAAAAUUGCAGGCUCUCUUACAACCAUUUUUGGAAUACUAAUUUGAUGUCGAUUUUUCAGUUAUGUUCUAGUUGGAAUUCUAACUGGAACACUUUAAUAGGUAAGUAAGUUUCUAUCAACUAAAUGAAGAGUAUUUGUAGAUGAAUUUAGUCAUAUCUUAUAUCAUUGAAUUGAAGGAAACAUGGAUAACUAACUUGUUCCACAUUUUUCUCAGCAUUGAUCAUUUAUGAUCCGUUCUAUUUAUCAUGGGCUUUUGUACUUGCUUUUUGCUGCACUUCUUUGUUAUUUAGCAGUAGCCAGAUUAUCAACCUUUCUCUGCAUUGAAAUUUCAGAACUUCCCUGGCUUUGAAGUCUAAGUUUCAUCAUACUUGGAACAGAAAAGAUAAACUUCUUGAAACUAUUCAUUGGCUGCAUCAUUUUAAUCAAACAAUAUUUACUCUAAUUGUUUAGCUGAUUUGGUUAUUAAAUUAUUCAUUUGUUUUCUAAAUAAAGUAGCUAGUAAGAGUUUUUUUACUAAAGUGACAUGACUUCUUCUUUUAACGGAUCAAGAACUUGAAGGCUCAAGAACCUAUCCUUGAAGAAUGUCCGGAGCAAGUUGAAGCACAAUAGAGUUUUUGUUCUGUUAGCAGUGGUUUAAAGAUUUUGUCAUUUGUACAUCGUGCUGCGGUUCUACUGUCUGUUUUUAGGAGUUGAUAAAAAUAGUGUCAUGCAAUUUGUAUGGGUAUAUUUAUAGACAGUGUGAUCCUUCAGUUCUUUGUAAUAAACAAUGAAACUUUAGAGAGUAUGAAUUUUGAUUAUUUGGUA